CAUAGAAGUCGUCUUCGUAUUCUUUACACUUUCAAAAACCUGAUAGAGUUAUAAUUUUCCGUAUGUCGUUGCCUGAGCAAAUUAGAUCACAGCAGAGUUCAAAUUCUUUAUCUUUUAAACUUAGUCAGGAAAUUUCGUAGGAACAUAAAAUAAGCCCCACCAUGAUAGUGAGAGUUUGCGAUACUAGAGUACCAUGGGCACUCACCCGUUUCUGAGAUCUUCAAAAACAUUAUCUAUGUAAGCUGAAUUUCCAAGACU
Molecule: long non-coding RNA, 258 nt
Filed under: Nicotiana benthamiana
Lineage: Eukaryota; Viridiplantae; Streptophyta; Magnoliopsida; Solanales; Solanaceae
Description: long non-coding RNA (NBEN_LNC001371)
Source: RNAcentral